CGACCCGUAAUGCUUCUUGUCUGCCUCCAGAACCGAGGUUAAGCAGGGACCGGAAGCAGCGCCGAAUCAUAUUCUGAAUUCUGGCCUGUUUUUGUUGGACCACAACAGCUGACGUAACCCUGUGGCGAUCGUGGAUGCGAGCCUGCAAUUCGAUCGGCCACAGGCACACUUCUGCGCAACAGCCGCGUAGGAGCAUGGCUGUCGCAGCUGACAACAACGCACCUUCUCCUGCUUUGUUCCGUUGGCUGCGUAGAGUAUGGAAGCAGCCAGCUGCCUGUGACUCACACAGUCGACGCCAUUCCAUUGAGUGCUGCUUUCUGCUCCUGCGCAUUCAUGCAGCCGAAACGAUUGCAGACGCGAUGUCUUCAGGAGGCGGCAAGACUGUUGCAGUCACCGAUGCCAAGUGCGGCCAAGAGCACGGUGUCGCGUCUUCUAACACGAAUACGUGAGGACGUGAAAUUCACUCACAAGAUAUGUCAGUGGAUCUGUGCGAAACUCGUGUACUAAACUCUCGCGUGUUCCCACAAGUGCAUUAGAUUAGACGGCACGUAUGUUAAUCACACUGCGUGUUGCCUUCGUAUUGCCAUGUUCGCCUUCCUCUUUCUUUCUUUCUUUUCCUACGUUGAUGCUGAUGCUUUUGUUCAAUGUCGUGCCGUUUUCUUUUCUGCCAACACCUACUAGCAUUUAAUAAAGGAAUCCUGUAAUGAUG
Dermacentor albipictus is the source of this 709-nucleotide long non-coding RNA. RefSeq lists it as uncharacterized. Lineage: Eukaryota; Metazoa; Arthropoda; Arachnida; Ixodida; Ixodidae. The record is from RefSeq and is a predicted model, not a curated record.